This is a non-coding RNA of Pelobates cultripes (western spadefoot toad), 258 nucleotides long. The record is from the annotation of a GenBank genome assembly. NCBI's taxonomy places the organism in Eukaryota, Metazoa, Chordata, Amphibia, Anura, Pelobatidae.
GAGAGGCAAGCAGAGAAAUAUACAGAGGGAGAGAAAGAGACAGACAGGCAGGGAGAAAGACAGACAGAUAGAUGCGCAUAGCUUAAACCGAGGUUCAUCCAUACUGAAGAAACUCCAAUUUUUGAUAAAGGGUAACCGAGUAGAUGCACAAAAUGUAAUGCACCCAGCUGGAACCUCUAUUGCUCAAAAUCAUAUUGAGAGAAGUCAAGCUCCAAGUCUUCAGAGACAACCAAUUGAAGCCUAGAUCUGUAUGCCAUU